GUGAGUCUACAGAAGUGUUGUGUAAGGCAAAGAUCCGUUACGUCUGAGGACGAAGGGACUGCCCUUUUCCGGGAAAGACACUGUUUGAUCAUUGCUGUCUCUUACUUGGCAACAAGAUGGACUUGGAAAGAAAGAAUUCUGCCACAGUGUGAAGCUUCCAAGCCAUAAACAAUCUUAAAUGGCCUCCCAAGAAGUCGAUAAUGCAGAGCUGGGGACAGCCUCAGCAGGUGGUACCCCAGACAGCCAGGAGCACCCAGAGGGGGUGAAUAAUUCUCCUUACCAGCCCAUUGAGGGAUCACAAGAUUAUCAGAAAGCAAUACUGCAAGCCCUUGGGGCCAUCCAGGUCCUGAAUGGAGCGAUGAUUCUGGCUGUAGGUGUUUUUCUAGGUUCCUUACAGUACCUGUCUCACCUCUUCAGGCACUUCUUUUUCUUCACUUUCUACACAGGCUAUCCACUGUGGGGUGCAGUUUUUUUUAUUAGUUCAGGAUCCUUGUCUAUUGCAGCAGGGAGAAAACCCACAAGAACGUUGAUGCAAAACAGUUUUGGGAUGAACAUUGCCAGCGCUACAAUUGCACUAGUUGGGAUUGUUUUUCUCUCAAUAAAUUUAGCAGUUAAUAUCCUGUCACUCAAGAGUUGUCAGUCUUCACAGUCCCCAGACUUAUGCAUUUAUAUGGGCUCUUCAUCAAACUUUCUUCCUCCCCAUGACUACUUCGUAUGGGUUGAUACAGAAAUAUCCACACAUCUGUUUCUCUUCAUGGAAAACAUCCUCGUACUUUUAGAGGCCUGGUGUCUCUAAUGCUUAUCCUCACUCUACUGGAACUGUGUAUAACUAUCUCUGUGUCGGCCAUGUGGUGCAAAGCAAACUGCUGUGAUUCAAGACAGGCAAUUUCUUCACCUCACAAUUCUGUGGAACCAGGGAUACCUCCUGAUAAAAGUAAUUCAGAAAGCAUGAACAUUCAACCUCAAGUCUCCAAUGAAUGAGAGCUUCAUCUAAGAACUCAGGAAACAUGACCCUAGGAAACAAUCCUUCUUUCAUGUCACCAAUCAUGGGAAACUUGGACAUCUGACUCAAUGGUUUCUGUCCUAACUCUAACUCCAAUUAGGGUGCUCUGGUUAUGGAAGGACAAUAUAUAUUUCUUUAGGCAUUCUUUAGGCACUAUGAUCAAUACUCCAAAGUUGUUCACAGGAGUUAGUUUUUCUUCUCAUUUGCUGCUUUAUGAAGCUUAAGAAAGGAAGGUAAUAUAAUUAUCCAAAUCUCUCUAAAAUCCAAAUUUCAAUAACCCAGUGGGAAGAAAAAUGAGUCUGCUUUUCUUUCAUUACAGAAAAAUUCGUCUUGUCUCUAGCUGAUAAUCAGCAUUACGAGAAUGUCACAUGAAAAAUCAUUACUAUCAUGAUUAAGAUAGAUUUUCACUACAUUUGAGAUAGCAGGGUUAAGCCUCAAAGAUUUUAUUUCAGUCUGCUGCUGAAUUCACACAUGUCCUGGUACAUAAAUGGUGGUUUUGUUUGUGAACUUUGAGAGCAAGGUCAACUUUUUAAUUUUUUCCCCCCAAAACCCAGACACUGUAAGUCAGAGAACAAGGGCUUUAGAAUCUGAUAGAUCUGUGUUCAAAUUCUGACAAUGCCAAUUAUCUGAAUUUGGGCAAGUUACUAGUCUACCUGACCUAUUAUUCCUCAUCUGUAACAUAGAUGUAAUAAUAUCAGCUACCUUAUUGGUUGUUAUGCGGAUGAAAUGAAAAUAAAGUGUAUGUGAAGUAGCAUCAAAACUAAUUGAUAAUGUUACUAUUGUUGGUCUUGCUGUUGCUGUUGAAGCAGAGGUGGGAUUGUGGUCAGAUGUGUUGGGUGAAUGACAGAUACCUUCCCUUCUCCUAUGACUCCUCCUCUGUUCUCUUGCAGUUUCAAUGGCCCUAUUUUCCAGGUGGCAAUUUAAUGCUAAAAUAUUUUUCAGUUCCUGAUUUACAAUUUAUAAUUUAUAGAUUUACAUUUCUAAUUUAUAAAUUCAUUGGUCUAAUUUAUAACUGAAUCUUCUAUAUCUUGACACUGCAUUGAGUCAUCUCUAACAUCCAUAAGUUCACAACCAUAAGUUA
This is an RNA transcript of Tupaia belangeri chinensis (Chinese tree shrew), 2084 nucleotides long. It is a transcript of the gene named membrane spanning 4-domains A3, with no coding region annotated. The record is from RefSeq and is a predicted model, not a curated record. The transcript is spliced from 8 exons. NCBI's taxonomy places the organism in Eukaryota, Metazoa, Chordata, Mammalia, Scandentia, Tupaiidae.